AAUAGUACCCUGGUAGUCCACGCCGUAAACGAUGUCGACUUGGAGGUUGUGCCCUUGAGGCGUGGCUUCCGGAGCUAACGCGUUAAGUCGACCGCCUGGGGAGUACGGCCGCAAGGUUAAAACUCAGGUGAAUUGACGGGGGCCCGCACAAGCGGUGGAGCAUGUGGUUUAAUUCGAUGCAACGCGAAGAACCUUACCUACUCUUGACAUCCAGAGAACUUAGCAGAGAUGCUUUGGUGCCUUCGGGAACUCUGAGACAGGUGCUGCAUGGCUGUCGUCAGCUCGUGUUGUGAAAUGUUGGGUUAAGUCCCGCAACGAGCGCAACCCUUAUCCUUUGUUGCCAGCGGUUAGGCCGGGAACUCAAAGGAGACUGCCAGUGAUAAACUGGAGGAAGGUGGGGAUGACGUCAAGUCAUCAUGGCCCUUACGAGUAGGGCUACACACGUGCUACAAUGGCAUAUACAAAGAGAAGCGACCUCGCGAGAGCAAGCGGACCUCAUAAAGUAUGUCGUAGUCCGGA
RNAcentral lists this ribosomal RNA (519 nucleotides) under uncultured bacterium. RNAcentral's name for it is "bacterial SSU rRNA". It matches the Rfam family "Bacterial small subunit ribosomal RNA", at positions 777 to 1297 of the family's 1533-position model. The record is from RNAcentral.